RNA transcript from Marmota monax (woodchuck), 7654 nucleotides. It is a transcript of the gene named broad substrate specificity ATP-binding cassette transporter ABCG2, with no coding region annotated. The transcript is spliced from 4 exons. The record is from RefSeq and is a predicted model, not a curated record. Lineage: Eukaryota; Metazoa; Chordata; Mammalia; Rodentia; Sciuridae.
CCUGCGUGCUCUCUGUGACUGGGUUCUCAGUUCCUGGUGUUUAUUGUGAUCGUCCUUGGCUGCAUUCGUCUUCUUCCUUCCGCCCGCCCAGACUGGGUAAAAUCUUGCGGAGCAGACGCGUCGGGGAGACGCUUCCAGCGCCCUGAUCAAGCACAUUGGAGCCCCGCUCAGGGAAGCCUGGUCCGUUGGACCCAGCUCACAAUCCCCAGCCCUAAGCGCAGCCUCCCUGUGCAGGAGCCACCCGCGAAGGCAAAAUCUCUGAAGAUGUCUUCUAAUAAUGACCAGGUUGUUAUCCCAAUGCUACGAAGACACACCAAUGGCCUUCCUGAGAUGAUCUCUACUGAUGGGGAGACAAUUACCCAAGGAGCUGUGUUGAGUUUUCAUAACAUCUGCUAUAGAGGGCUAGAGAAGAGAGGCUCUCUACUGCGACGAAGAACAGUUGAGAAAGAAAUACUAUCGAAUAUCAGUGGGAUCAUGAAACCUGGCCUCAAUGCCAUCAUGGGACCCCCAGGUGGAGACAAAUCUUUGAAGACAAGAAUUGAGGAAUCCACAACAUAGAACCAAACUGGUUUUUGUUAGUUAAAUUCACGUGCCUAUAGACACUCAAGAGGGGAAAGCAAAUGUUCUUCCUGCACUACAGACAAAAAAGGUCAAGGAAUGAGUCUGUGAGCUAAGUCUGAAACUGUAGAGAUUAGGCAGGACCAGCUAGAGGCAUGGAACUUGCAAAGUUAAAAAUUAUCAAUUUCCUUUUAUCCACAAAGUACACAACAAAUUACUUAUAAUAAUAUUAUUCUACAUUUAUAAAAAGAAGUCUACAAAAAAGAUUGCCCAAAGCAGCUCAUAUAAUGUUUUGCAUCUUUCUACUUUCAUCAGUAACACAUAGGGAAAGUAUAUUCUGUUCACUAUCUAGAUACAUUCAGUAGAUACUUAGUACGUGAAAUGGUAAUGUGACAGAGAAAUUAAAUUUUUAACAUUACUUGAUUUCAAUUCAACUUCCAUGUGUCUGGGGCUACCAUAUUGGUGAUGCAGGUGAUGAUUUUAAAUUGUAUUUCCCAUUAUCAGUUUAUUUAUAAAUAAAGCAAUUUUGUAAAGCCAUAAAAGAUACAUACAUUUGGCAUAUCUUAUAACAAAUUCUUUUCUAGGUUUCAAAAGAGUACAAUGUUAUGAUAGUAUAAUCUUUCUUUCAAAAAUAAGAAAGUGCUAAAAAAAAUAAAACUAGGGAAGUGAGAAAUUUCUGUUAGGUCAGUCCUCAAGAAAAUGAGAUCAAACAUAUCAUGACAGAAAAGAUUAAGAAAAACAGACAUUAAGUUAAUUAUCCAUCAAACACAGGAAGACUUAUGAAUCUUCCUCUAAUGCAAUGCUGGGGCUGUAUUGAUUACAAGGGGGAAAGCAUACACCAAGUAUUCACUAUAAUAACCUAUGAGAACCUUUACUUAAUUAGCAUAGUAAAAAAUCACAUCCUGGUGCAGAAACCUAAGGUGAUAAUGAUAUAAGCAUCUCAUGAAGACCCAUGAUGAAGGCAAGCUCAGGUGCAACUAAGACUCCACACCUACAUGUAAUGACACAAAGAAGACAAAGUCCCUGCAUGCCCUAGAGAUGCUAUAAAAGCUGUGCACUUCUCUUAGGGAAUCUGCCUGGGAAUUCUGUCCUCACCUGCUGCUUCCCUGGUUUCAGAGAAUAAAAAUAAAACUCUAUUGUUAUUGCAAUAUAGUGUUCCUGCCUUGAUUCUUAUUCUGCAGGCUCAGUAACAAAAGUACCAUAUGCUUCAGUUUAGGAAAAACAAACUUAUAAAAAAUGGAAGUGUGGCAAAGUCUAAAAGAAAAUGCUUCUAUUUUUGUAAAACUGUCCGUUAUUAGCUAAACUCAAUCUUCUUCCUCAAGCAAAAUAAAUGUGGUAAAUCCCCCAAAAUUUAACAAGAUCUAUGAACAGAAUUUAUAUAGCUUACAAAAAAGAAUUAUCAUUCAUGAAGUUAGUUUCAUACAUUUGUGUUCAAAAUCUCCAAUAGCACUGGGAAGCCAAUGAAAACAGAAACUACUUCAAUAACAAUGUAAACCCAUAUAAACCCUUCCAGAAAUCCUCCAGGGCUUUCCUAUAAAGCAACCAAAUAUCCCUAGCCAUGUAUGUGGAUAUUUGGAGUACUACUUCAACAAUUUAGCAUUAAAAUGUCCUACAAGCCCAGCUCAUAGAGCAGGAAUUUUCACCUUCUCUUGCUCUUUGCCCUCAGCUAUCUCCUACAAGUAAAUAAAAGAACCAUAUUUACAAAAGCAUCAGCUUUAGACUUUACUGAGAAACUGAAAUUUCAAAAAAUCAUAUCAGCAUUUUAAAACUGAAGGUGCUAGCAGAUGUUAGUUAUCAUAAAAGUAUUCGUAUUAUAUUGUCCACUAUUUUUCAAUCCUUCAGAUCUCUUCAUACUUUAUCCUUAAUGAUUCAUAUAGAGAGAAACAUGAAAUCAUGAUAAUCCACAGUUAUUAUAAUCACUAGCGAAAAGUCACUAGCAAUCCUGUUAAGGAGUACACUUUUAAAACUCCUCUGGGGAUGUUCAAUUCUGGUAGGGUUACUGAAUCUAGAUUUGGAAGCACAUCCCCCAGAAAAACUAAAGACGAAUGUUUGGGAGAAAGAAAGGCUUUAUUCAGUGGCCAAAGAAUGGAGAAGAAACAGCUUUGCUCACAAGUCACCUUUUUAGUUCCAGAGCAGAUUGACUGACAUCCAGGGAAGCCAUGCCCAUCUCAUGAGCUGUGUGGGGGUCAUAGGCAAAACAAGUGAAAAGACCAGAGCCAGGCCCACCCAAAAAGAGGGGCAAAGAGGGCGCUCAGUGCUCAUAGUUCACACACACACACAGCCCGUGACUGGCUUGCUACAUCUCCAUAUUCUCAUCACUCAAGGCUAAGGGGCGUGCACGGUUCCUAUCUGGAAGCUCCUGACAUGGGAACUAUAAUGUCCCUAUAUCAUGGUUAGGGGAGAAACAUUUCUCAAAUGAUCAACAUGUCUAUAUACAGGGCUGAGGAGAAUCUGACCCAAUGGUUAAGGUGACAAAGAAGAGACACAACAUGAAGACACACCAAGCAGUUUCAUUUCAUUCUGUCACCUACUGAACAUCUGCAGGCCCAAGUAUAGAGUCAAUGUUUUCAGCAAAAGUGUCCUUUAGGUGCUUGAAGAGUAACCUAGGCAACAAUUAUCAUAGUAAACCACACCUCAAAAGUGUUAUCUAUCACAAAGCUGUUAGUUAGUAAUUCAUAAUGGGCAGUGGAAUGCAAACCAACAAUAUAGCAGAGUCAUGGGGUUUAUUUAAAUUGCCUUUAAAACGAAUGAAUAAGGGCUAGGAUUGUAGCUCAGUGGUAGAGCACUUGCUUAGCAUGUGUGAAGCACUGGGUUCGAUUCUCAUCACCACAUAUAAAUAAAUGAAUGAAAUAAAGGUCCAUCAACAGCUAAAAAAAAUUUUUAAAAAAAUGAAUAAUUGAGUGAUAUAUAGGAAAACAACAGAUGUACUAACCCUGAAAAUAAAUGGGUGGGAACAAAGGGAGCCAAUUAAAAAAUAUGUCAAGAAGGAAAGAUGGAUGGGGCUAACCCCUGAGAUUAUUAUAAAGUUAGGAUUUAUGGCCAUAAGUUUCUAAAUAUACACCAAAAGGGAAAUUUAUGUAGUAUUGUAGGUGCACUAAGAUUAAGUUUGCUUGGUCAUUGUCCACAGUACCCACAUUAACAUAGGACUGACUUAUAAUUAGAGCCCACCUGAAUGGGAUGGUUGCCAAGACAGUUCCAGAAAAGACCAACUAGGGUCCUUUUAUUCACAUGAAUGAAAUUAACUCCUUCCCUUUGUCCUAGGAGCCAGUCUGACACUGUGGUCAGUGCAGUAUCUCCCUUCUCAAAGUAGAAGGCUAACUUGUUUUUAUUUCUGUCAUCACAAAUUAAAGUUCUGCAUCACUUCCAGCAUGAACACCCUACCCACCUCAAUUCCUACUACCUCACAUUCAUUUAAUAACAGAGUGGAGACACAGCUCCGUUCCUGGUGGAACACAAAACCUAGGUAGCAGGAGUGUCUACAGUUUCUAGAGGAAACAAAUCAAGUAAAUAGAAAAAGGAGAAAGGAGAUGAGAAAAGACUGACGUAGUAAAUGAUGCAAAGUCCAUAAAAUGAAAGAGAUAUUGGGAAAUGCAUGCAGUUGGAAUUUCGUUUUCAGAGGCAGUAAGAAAGUGAGGUUACAGAGAUCAGCAAAGGUUGUCAAGAGCAGCAUGCCUGCCCAGGGGCUAAGUCUUGACAUUGGCCCUCUUGGAAGGGUCCCUACCUUCUCCUCACAUCCUGAUCCUUCCAGCAGAGGAUCUUUGGGAAAUUAAUGACUCAAAUAAAUUGAUGACUUAUUACCAAAGAAGAUAAAAGUGUGUUUUUGUAGGGCAUUCAUGCCCUCUACUCACAGUUUAGCAUAAUCUUUGCUGUUUUUGUCUUUUUCACUGGAAACACAACAACAGUAAAAAAAAAAAAGUAUGGUAAACAGUAAAAUUCACCCUCUUUAAGUGUAGUUUUCCAACUUUUGAAAAUAGUCUUGUGAGUGAGACCAUCAGGAUCAUUGCCAUCACCUCUCAAAGAAAAACCACUUCCCUGCUAAAGUACAACACAGUGACCACAGAUAAAAAGUAUGUACUGUGUACUUCAAAAAGUUAAAAUUUUAAAUGUUUUCAACAAAAAAUUAUAAAUGUUAGAGGAAACGAACAUGUUUAACCUGAUCUAAACAUUACACAAUGUGUACAUGUAUUGAAAUCUCAUCUUGUAGCCCAUUAAUAUGUAUAACGUUUAUGUUUUGAUCUAUUAAAAAUAAACUUACUUGAGAUUUUAAAAAUGUUUAAAAAUGUACUAAAAAAAAGAAAGAAAAACAAACAAACAAAAAAGAAGGUGAAGGAAAAAGAAAAAACCUCUUUCUACCAUAGUCUGUGAUAACGACUGGUCUCCUUUCUGUCCCUUUUUCAACUUAACAUAAGUCCUCUCUUUAAAUAGAUGCCAAUGAGCACAAAAUUCCAUGACUAUUCUAUUUUCCUUUUAUUUUCCCACAAAAUGUGCAAGAAUCUUUCCCAAAUUAAUCUGUAACAGAAAACCAAAACUUCAGAAAAUACAUAGUCCAAUUAUAAUUAAAAGGACUGAAACCAAGCACAGUUUAUAUGUGUGUUGCAUCUCAAAUUUUCUUAAUCUCAUCUGUAACUUGGCCAGCAGUUCUCCAGAGGACACUGAGGUGCUCCUUUCCUGAACUGCUCAUAAUCUAGGGAUUUUGCUGCCUAAUCCAGGGAUGGAGUUUGAGUUUCUUAUAUCCUUUAAGUUUACUGGGCAUGUGACUUGUAAGAAAGCUACCUAGUUAAAUCUUCCAAAUCUACUUCUCACCUGUAAAAUCAAUUUAGAAUAUCCUGUGCUUGCACCACAUGGCAGGCACUGGAGGGACAGGAAUGAACAACACAACAUCCAUGAGGUUGUCUCUGAAAUCCAUGAGGUUAUUAUGGAGUGUUAAUAUUAUAGAUGCAGGGAAGAGGUUAGGCUUCACCACUUAAAACCCUCCACGAUGGAGGGAGAUCCUCAUUGUUAUACAAAAUUACAUAUAAGAGGUUGUGAGGGGAAUGGGAAAAUAAAUAAGGAGAGAAAUGAAUUACAGUAGAUGGGGUAGAGAGAGAAGAUGGGAGGGGAGGGGAGGGGAGAUAGUAGAGGAUAGGAAAGGUAGCAGAAUACAACAGUUACUAAUAGGGCAUUAUGUAAAAAUGUAGAUGUGUAACCGACGUGAUUCUGCAAUCUGUAUUUGGAGUAAAAUUGGGAGUUCAAAACCCACCUGAAUCAAAUGUAUGAAAUAUGAUAUGUCAAGAGCUUUGUAAUGUUUUGAACAACCAAUAAAAAAAAAUAAAAAAUAAAACCCUCCACGAAUAUGUGAGGUCAAACUGGCAGGAAAAUUGGUUUUAUUCUAAGUCAGCUUUGAAAGCAGAUAGAAAAAAACUUUUUGUUUUAAAAUUUCCAUCUUUAGAGGCUUUACGAUGAAGAAUGAUUUUAAAAGAAAAAAGCAGCAAAACGAGACAAAAAGUGGGAAAUAUGCAUAUGUAGAUUCAGUUAGCUUGGGCUAGACCAGUCUAGAAAGGGGGCAAUCUCCAUUCUCAUCUUCAGUUGCACUCCCCCAACUCCCCACACCCUGUGUGGGGCAGGCAGCACUUCAACUUUAUUCUCACUAUGAAAAAAAGGAUGCAGAAAAACUUAUAAGGAAGUUGUCCUUAAUUUCAAUGUCAUAAGGUUACUUAUGAAAAAUGUCCCCACUCCGAUAAAAUGGGAAAAAAAAUCAAGAGUACAGGUAGUCAGGAAAGAGUUGUCAAGUGAGGCUUUUGAGGAGUCACCUGAGGGUAGCCAUCUGGAGUAGCAGUGCAAGUCCAAGUGCUAGUCUAAAGACCAGCCAAGGGGUUCGUCAGAGGGCCCAAAGAGUGACGGAAAUCAAGAGGACAGGGGAUAAGUUCAGAGGAAGGGCAGCUAAGGCAGAGCCCACAACUGACCACCUUAAUGACUUCAGCUCUGACUCCAAAUGAGACUGGGAGGCACCAGAAAGUUCUGAGUGAUGUAAUUACACUUAUAAGGAUCAUAAUAAUUUAGGUUGGGGUGGGGAUGAAGGAAGGAGACCAUAUAAGACUACUGUAAUAAUCCAAGAGGCAAGAUGGCAACACUGUACUGAACCCCUCCUCUGUCACAUAUGAAAGCUCCUGAACAUCUUAUUUAUAUCUGUUGUCCUAUAGUGCAGCACCAGACACAAAACACUCAAGAACUAUAAAAAUAGAAGUAGCACCAGGAUUCCCAGCUACACCCCUGAGGAUGCAGAGAUGCAGAACUCUCUCUGUUCCCACAAGAAGGUGAGAGUGGAGGUAGAGAAGAAUAGAACUCUAGCAGGAGGAGGAUCCUCAUUUCCACAGCAAGGUGGGCAGAGGCCCAGGAGAGCCACCACUCUUUCUCCUCUCCAUCACAAGGCCAGCACUACCAAACCGGCACUAUGGGAAGAUGAACAGCAGGAGAGAGGGGUUAUUUGAGAAUUUUAAAAUCCAAAAGUCUAGGGACAAAUAAGAGGAACAGGCAGAUUUCUAGCUGAAACUCUAAGAAUUUACUGGAAGCCACACAGCACUGGGUCUAAUAUGUUUCUAAUGUACAUCUACCACAUUAAGGUCAAUAUCCUCUUUCCUACCAGUUUAUAGUUCAAUAAUCAUAAUCACAGACACUUACAUUGUGAACAGAAAAUCAUAAGUGAAUAGUAGCACAACUUCUCAAAAAUUCUGAUGAGACCUGUAAUAAGAAAUAGAUUUUUUCCAUCAUAAUCCAGUAUACAAAAUGUGUGUGAGAGUGUGUGUGUGCAUGUGCUCUAUAAAACCACAGAGGGCUCAUAAUUAUUGAGAGAGACCCUCUAAUCCAUGAGCAUAUUGUCUCAAGCCAAUGGUGUCUCGUUAUAUACAAAGGACCAUACCAUUGCUAGUAGGACUAACAAUGAAAAAGACUGAAGUUAGGGGCCCUUCUAAACUUGACAGCAACUUACUCAUACUGAGAGUAAAGGCUGAAAUGCUGACCCCGCCCCAGCCUAGGGGAAGCCAAAGAAGCUGACUGACCCCUGCCCAGGCCUGUCUAGCAUGGGUUAUGUAUAUUGUGAGAUAAUUUUUUCUCACUUCUC